GGCUCCAUAGUUCAACGGAUAGAAUAGCGGUUUCCUAAACCGUAGAUCCAGGUUCGAUUCCUGGUGGAGCUACAA
This 75-nucleotide transfer RNA is filed under the name Bacteroidota bacterium. RNAcentral describes it as "Bacteroidetes bacterium tRNA-Arg". It matches the Rfam family "tRNA". From Rfam's summary of the family: Transfer RNA (tRNA) molecules are approximately 80 nucleotides in length. Their secondary structure includes four short double-helical elements and three loops (D, anti-codon, and T loops). Further hydrogen bonds mediate the characteristic L-shaped molecular structure. tRNAs have two regions of fundamental functional importance: the anti-codon, which is responsible for specific mRNA codon recognition, and the 3' end, to which the tRNAs corresponding amino acid is attached (by aminoacyl-tRNA synthetases). tRNAs cope with the degeneracy of the genetic code in two manners: having more than one tRNA (with a specific anti-codon) for a particular amino acid; and 'wobble' base-pairing, i.e. permitting non-standard base-pairing at the 3rd anti-codon position. Lineage: Bacteria; Pseudomonadati; Bacteroidota. The record is from RNAcentral.